GUGCUCUCUUAAGCAGCACAAAUACAGAACUUGGAGUGAAACAAAGAUGAGCAUUGUUCCUGUGCAAGGAUGACGUGCAAAUGUGUAAACUGUUUCAUAUAAAA
This 104-nucleotide small nuclear RNA is filed under the name Cercocebus atys (sooty mangabey). Lineage: Eukaryota; Metazoa; Chordata; Mammalia; Primates; Cercopithecidae. The record is from RNAcentral.